This 277-nucleotide long non-coding RNA is filed under the name Lathyrus oleraceus (garden pea). RNAcentral's name for it is "Pisum sativum (pea) long non-coding RNA (PSAT_LNC003137)". The record is from RNAcentral. Lineage: Eukaryota; Viridiplantae; Streptophyta; Magnoliopsida; Fabales; Fabaceae.
GGUCCAAGUAAUUUAUCCUAAGUUCAACAAGGUCAAACUAAGUUUGACAAAAAAAUUCAGCAUUUUUUAAAAGUCGGAAACUAUUUUUAACCAAUUAAAAAUGAAUAAAAAUAACCUAAUUGAACUAAAAUCUCAAAUAAAUCUCAAAUCAAUUUAAAAAUUGAUGAGAAUAUUUUUCAUAGAUCCAUCAUCAUUCAAAUAGGUUAGGAAAAUAUUUUUGUAUUUUUUGAAUAUCAAAAACUAUUUAAAAUGAAUUAAAAAUAACCAGAAAAGAGAA